GUGUCAGCCGCCGCGGUAAUACGUAGGUGGCAAGCGUUGUCCGGAUUUACUGGGCGUAAAGAGCGCGCAGGCGGUCGUUCAAGUCGCGUGUGAAAGCCCCCGGCUCAACUGGGGAGGGUCACGCGAUACUGAUCGACUCGAAGGCAGGAGAGGGUAGUGGAAUUCCCGGUGUAGUGGUGAAAUGCGUAGAUAUCGGGAGGAACACCAGUGGCGAAGGCGACUACCUGGCCUGUUCUUGACGCUGAGGCGCGAAAGCUAGGGGAGCAAACGGGAUUAGAUACCCCGGUAGUCCUAGCCGUAAACGAUGGACACUAGGUGUUGGUGGUAUCAACCCCGCCAGUGCCGAAGCUAACGCAUUAAGUGUCCCGCCUGGGGAGUACGGCCGCAAGGCUAAA
Molecule: ribosomal RNA, 395 nt
Filed under: uncultured bacterium
Lineage: Bacteria
Description: bacterial SSU rRNA
Rfam family: Bacterial small subunit ribosomal RNA
Source: RNAcentral